GGGGUCGUUUGGUUUUGACAUCUUGUGUGUGGAUUUGUAAGCAUGUCGGAGGUUGUGAGACGGUUCCGUUAAAAACUAACUCUCGUAGCCAAUAAAUGGCAAUAAUAACUAUGCUUUCGCGGCAUAACCGCGAAGGUUCCCGAAGCAUGGACAAGGUCCAUAGCGGCGGGUGUCUCCCCAGAAGCUACGCCGGUUGGCGUUUGGUAAGAGGCAUCAUAAAAGACCGGAUAGCGUGUGCAGGGCUUCGAUGCACGGGCGAAAUGAAAGAAGAUAAGUACAAGGUUGGUUGGUCUCGUACCGGCCUCGUGCCGACAAUCAAACGUUAGACUAAACAUGUAGAAAGCAUCUUUGCAGCAGGUUUGGACGCGGGUUCGACUCCCGCCGACUCCACAA
Molecule: transfer-messenger RNA, 393 nt
Filed under: Bacteroidales bacterium
Lineage: Bacteria; Pseudomonadati; Bacteroidota; Bacteroidia; Bacteroidales
Rfam family: transfer-messenger RNA
About the family: Bacterial tmRNA, also known as 10Sa RNA or SsrA, is named for its dual tRNA and mRNA-like properties. Its role is to liberate the mRNA from a stalled ribosome.
Source: RNAcentral